RNAcentral lists this transfer RNA (72 nucleotides) under Camelus bactrianus (Bactrian camel). It matches the Rfam family "tRNA". Rfam says of the family: Transfer RNA (tRNA) molecules are approximately 80 nucleotides in length. Their secondary structure includes four short double-helical elements and three loops (D, anti-codon, and T loops). Further hydrogen bonds mediate the characteristic L-shaped molecular structure. tRNAs have two regions of fundamental functional importance: the anti-codon, which is responsible for specific mRNA codon recognition, and the 3' end, to which the tRNAs corresponding amino acid is attached (by aminoacyl-tRNA synthetases). tRNAs cope with the degeneracy of the genetic code in two manners: having more than one tRNA (with a specific anti-codon) for a particular amino acid; and 'wobble' base-pairing, i.e. permitting non-standard base-pairing at the 3rd anti-codon position. The record is from Rfam by way of RNAcentral. Lineage: Eukaryota; Metazoa; Chordata; Mammalia; Artiodactyla; Camelidae. RNAcentral also lists the same sequence under 2 other names.
GAAGGUAUAGCUCAGUGGUAGAGUGCCUGCUUAGCAAGCACAAGGUCCUGGGUUUAAUCCCUAGUACCUCCA